GGCCGGUUAGCUCAGUUGGUUAGAGCGUGGUGCUGAUAACACUGACGUCGCGGGCUCGACUCCCGCACCAGCCA
Transfer RNA from Gorilla gorilla gorilla (western lowland gorilla), 74 nucleotides. It matches the Rfam family "tRNA". From Rfam's summary of the family: Transfer RNA (tRNA) molecules are approximately 80 nucleotides in length. Their secondary structure includes four short double-helical elements and three loops (D, anti-codon, and T loops). The record is from Rfam. Lineage: Eukaryota; Metazoa; Chordata; Mammalia; Primates; Hominidae.